Molecule: small RNA, 202 nt
Filed under: Paenibacillus lactis
Lineage: Bacteria; Bacillati; Bacillota; Bacilli; Caryophanales; Paenibacillaceae
Description: ydaO/yuaA leader
Rfam family: c-di-AMP riboswitch aptamer (ydaO/yuaA leader)
About the family: This family represents a conserved RNA structure found upstream of the ydaO and yuaA genes in Bacillus subtilis and related genes in other bacteria.
Source: RNAcentral
CGCUUAAUCUCCGAAGUCUGGGGAACGGGGGAACCGAUACUGCUGUGCAUGGGAAACUGCCGUGCACGAGCCGUAUAUGAUUUCUUUAUCGGGUCUUUGGGGUGAAUGUGAAGGUCCUCGCCAUGAGCGGGCGACCGGAUCUAGGGCGUCUCUCUUACGUCCGAACCCGACAGCUAACUCCGUAAGCGAAGUAAGAGGGGAA